Molecule: long non-coding RNA, 712 nt
Organism: Camelina sativa (false flax)
Lineage: Eukaryota; Viridiplantae; Streptophyta; Magnoliopsida; Brassicales; Brassicaceae
Source: RefSeq, a predicted model, not a curated record
AGUAGUUGAACAGUAUAGAUCCAGGAUCUACAAACAUCUCUGCUCAGACAUAAAAGUGGUUGGGAAGACACAAAAUCUAUACAUAUUUAUAUUGUUCCUAUUUUUUUUAUUUUUUUUGUUUUUAAAAACACUCAAAUUUUGAUUACCGAUGAGGAUGUCCUUACACCCCGUUCUAUCUCCGCUGCUACCGCUUCCAUACUCACUCCAUAUCUAAUUUUUUUUUCUCCUUUACAUCCGUUUCCAUGGUGAUGUUGUCAUAUGUACAAGGUUUUGUAAACGGAUUCGAUUUCCACCUUUUCUGAUGAUGGGACAAGAGACCAUUGAGGAAGUCAGGAAGACGAUGAUGAAACGGUGUGCGUUGAACCAUAUUCGGAUAUUCGAUUUUUCUUACGAAUAAUUUCGGAUAUCCAGAUUUUUGGAUACGGAUCUGGAUAGUAAUAACGUGAAUCCGCCGGAUACGGAUCCGGAUUCGGAUAGCUAAAAAAAUGUCAGAUAUCCAGAUCUGUCUCAGGGCUAAAUAAUAUAAUCAUAUACAUAAAAAUAAAGUUUCACUCUAUCCUUAAUGGUUCAUUUAUCAUUUAAUUUUUAGGGUAUUUGCAAAAAUACUCUUUUUUCAUGUCUAUUUUUAAAUUAUUUUUCCAUGUUGACCAUUUUUAAAACUAUCAUUUUUUAUGUAUAAAAUGAACAACAUACAUUUUUUGAGUGACAUCAA